CCAACAGCCAGACGUAGGCGAACCGCUGAGCGAACGCGGCUUAGGUUCCAGCUGCCCCCCGAAGUUAAGGGAGCAAGACCAGCUUGGAAAUCCGGGCAUCGAAUAUUCCUGCAGGCUGUGGAGAAUAUUCCUCUGAGAGUUGGAUUUAUUGUGUAACCUCACUGCUACGCCCCUCAAAGUCUGUAAUGAUAUUCACAUGGGAUCCAUUAUCACAUCAUGGUGCAAGUGAAGGAUGCCUUUGACCAUUUCAUUGGAGGGAUUUCAGUAACCUUGAAAGCAAAAACAGUUAAUAAAACUUAGGAGAAGAGAGAUCAGGAUCCAAGAAGUGCAACAAAUUAUGAUGGAGUAGCUUCAUUUGUGGUGAACAUUCCCUCUGAUGUGACAAUGCUGGAG
Pteropus alecto (black flying fox) is the source of this 393-nucleotide long non-coding RNA. RefSeq lists it as uncharacterized. Lineage: Eukaryota; Metazoa; Chordata; Mammalia; Chiroptera; Pteropodidae. The record is from RefSeq and is a predicted model, not a curated record. The transcript is spliced from 3 exons.